UUGUGAGUUCGAUGAGUAGGGCGGGACACGUGACAUCCUGUCUGAAUAUGGGGGGACCAUCCUCCAAGGCUAAAUACUCCUGACUGACCGAUAGUGAACCAGUACCGUGAGGGAAAGGCGAAAAGAACCCCGGCGAGGGGAGUGAAAUAGAACCUGAAACCGUGUACGUACAAGCAGUGGGAGCCUACUUGUUAGGUGACUGCGUACCUUUUGUAUAAUGGGUCAGCGACUUAUAUUCUGUAGCAAGGUUAACCGUAUAGGGGAGCCGCAGGGAAACCGAGUCUUAACUGGGCGUUAAGUUGCAGGGUAUAGACCCGAAACCCGGUGAUCUAGCCAUGGGCAGGUUGAAGGUUGGGUAACACUAACUGGAGGACCGAACCGACUAAUGUUGAAAAAUUAGCGGAUGACUUGUGGCUGGGGGUGAAAGGCCAAUCAAACCGGGAGAUAGCUGGUUCUCCCCGAAAGCUAUUUAGGUAGCGCCUCGUGAAUUCAUCUUCGGGGGUAGAGCACUGUUUCGGCUAGGGGGUCAUCCCGACUUACCAACCCGAUGCAAACUACGAAUACCGAAGAAUGUUAUCACGGGAGACACACGGCGGGUGCUAACGUUCGUCGUGAAGAGGGAAACAACCCAGACCGCCAGCUAAGGUCCCAAAGUCAUGGUUAAGUGGGAAACGAUGUGGGAAGGCAUAGACAGCCAGGAUGUUGGCUUAGAAGCAGCCAUCAUUUAAAGAAAGCGUAAUAGCUCACUGGUCGAGUCGGCCUGCGCGGAAGAUGUAACGGGGCUAAACCAUGCACCGAAGCUGCGGCAGCGACACUUAGGUGUUGUUGGGUAGGGGAGCGUUCUGUAAGCCGUCGAAGGUGGCCUGUGAGGGCUGCUGGAGGUAUCAGAAGUGCGAAUGCUGACAUAAGUAACGAUAAUGCGGGUGAAAAACCCGCACGCCGGAAGACCAAGGGUUCCUGUCCAACGUUAAUCGGGGCAGGGUGAGUCGACCCCUAAGGCGAGGCUGAAAAGCGUAGUCGAUGGGAAACAGGUUAAUAUUCCUGUACUCGGUGUUACUGCGAAGGGGGGACGGAGAAAGCUAGGUUAUCCGGGCGACGGUUGUCCCGGUUUAAGCGUGAAGGUGGAUGACUUUGGUAAAUCCGGGUCAUUAUUAACACUGAGGCGUGAUGACGAGUCACUACGGUGAUGAAGUAACCAAUGCUACGCUUCCAGGAAAAGCCUCUAAGCUCCAGGUAACAUCAAAUCGUACCCCAAACCGACACAGGUGGUCAGGUAGAGAAUACUCAGGCGCUUGAGAGAACUCGGGUGAAGGAACUAGGCAAAAUGGUGCCGUAACUUCGGGAGAAGGCACGCUGAUGGUAGGUGAAGUGACUUGCUCAUGGAGCUGAAAUCAGUCGAAGAUACCAGCUGGCUGCAACUGUUUAAUAAAAACACAGCACUGUGCAAACACGAAAGUGGACGUAUACGGUGUGACGCCUGCCCGGUGCCGGAAGGUUAAUUGAUGGGGUCAGCCGCAAGGCGAAGCUCUUGAUCGAAGCCCCGGUAAACGGCGGCCGUAACUAUAACGGUCCUAAGGUAGCGAAAUUCCUUGUCGGGUAAGUUCCGACCUGCACGAAUGGCGUAAUGAUGGCCAGGCUGUCUCCACCCGAGACUCAGUGAAAUUGAACUCGCUGUGAAGAUGCAGUGUACCCGCGGCAAGACGGAAAGACCCCGUGAACCUUUACUAUAGCUUGACACUGAACCUUGAGCCUUGAUGUGUAGGAUAGGUGGGAGGCUUUGAAGCGUGGACGCCAGUCUGCGUGGAGCCAACCUUGAAAUACCACCCUUUAAUGUUUGAUGUUCUAACGUGGACCCGUGAUCCGGGUUGCGGACAGUGUCUGGUGGGUAGUUUGACUGGGGCGGUCUCCUCCCAAAGCGUAACGGAGGAGCACGAAGGUUAGCUAAUCCUGGUCGGACAUCAGGAGGUUAGUGCAAAGGCAUAAGCUAGCUUGACUGCGAGAGUGACAGCUCGAGCAGGUGCGAAAGCAGGUCUUAGUGAUCCGGUGGUUCUGAAUGGAAGGGCCAUCGCUCAACGGAUAAAAGGUACUCCGGGGAUAACAGGCUGAUACCGCCCAAGAGUUCAUAUCGACGGCGGUGUUUGGCACCUCGAUGUCGGCUCAUCACAUCCUGGGGCUGAAGUAGGUCCCAAGGGUAUGGCUGUUCGCCAUUUAAAGUGGUACGCGAGCUGGGUUUAGAACGUCGUGAGACAGUUCGGUCCCUAUCUGCCGUGGGCGUUGGAAGAUUGAGAGGGGUUGCUCCUAGUACGAGAGGACCGGAGUGAACGCACCACUGGUGUACGGGUUGUGAUGCCAAUUGCAUUGCCCGGUAGCUAAGUGCGGAAGAGAUAACCGCUGAAAGCAUCUAAGCGGGAAACUUGCCUCGAGAUGAGUCUUCCCUGGGCACUAGAUGCCCCUGAAGGGCCGUUGAAGACGACGACGUAGAUAGGCUGGGUGUGUAAGCGUAGCGAUACGUUGAGCUAACCAGUACUAAUGACCCGAGAGGCUUAACCUUACAACACCGAAGGUGUUU
This 2569-nucleotide ribosomal RNA is filed under the name Pectobacterium carotovorum subsp. carotovorum. RNAcentral's name for it is "bacterial LSU rRNA". It matches the Rfam family "Bacterial large subunit ribosomal RNA", at positions 397 to 2925 of the family's 2925-position model. Lineage: Bacteria; Pseudomonadati; Pseudomonadota; Gammaproteobacteria; Enterobacterales; Pectobacteriaceae. The record is from RNAcentral.